Molecule: long non-coding RNA, 1595 nt
Filed under: Bemisia tabaci
Lineage: Eukaryota; Metazoa; Arthropoda; Insecta; Hemiptera; Aleyrodidae
Description: lncRNA ENSSSA1UGG004981
Source: RNAcentral
GUUGGGUUUCAGCGUGCGCCGGCCGGGAACGGUGCGGCUUGGCGCCAGUCUGUCGGGGGCCCGAUACACGGGUUGCAUAAGAAUCGCGGCGCAACGCUCCAGUCACACGCUCGCAUCGCGACCGAGAGGACUCGGCCCGCGCCUCGUAGUUCCGCCGUCGAACCGCUAGAGUGCGCAAAGAGGAUACGCGGGACGCACGACUCGCGGCCACUCCGGAGACACGGAUUCGCCGAGACGGAUUUCGCUUUAGGAUCGUCGGGGAAACCUGCGGGCUUGGAUUUUCGAGGGUUAUCGAGACUUGGCAGGAUACCGAAAGUUCGCAGCCGAGAGGUGAACACAGCCUACAGCCCCUGGAAUCAAGUCGAGACAGCGGCGAUUAACGAUGUUGGCCUCUUCCCGCCGAGGAGGCUUCGAAGUGCAGCGGUGCAGCUUGAGUGCGACCGACCCGAAGCGCGCAACAACUUUCGAUAUCCAGCAGCUGUACAUGAACAACAGACUUUCCGACUGUCAGUAAAGUGCGCGGCGACGGAGGACUUCCCCAAAAACGAGCGCCGUAAAAUAGCGUUGAGCUGUCAGUUCAGCUCACUAGACAGUUAAAGGUAUUUCCCUGAAUUCAGUGAAAGACUCGUCAAAAAGACAGCGACAGGUAUUCGCGUGAAGCAAUGCAAGCACUGCGACAGUUGGUUGAAAGUCAGUAGGAUGGACAGUGACAGCCACUCGCUCGAAGGCAGGUGAGAGUUUGCGUUGAGACAUUCACGUCGAUCUGUUCGGGAGUUUGGUAAGGUGUGCGAAGACAGAUAUACACGUGGAAGUAGAGGGAUGCCGUGGCAAGCAGCAAGGUGUGCGGUGGCAGAAAUGAGAGAACUCGAUAAAAAGACAGACUACUGGGCUGCCCAUACGACUUAUUUCUGUCACUCGAUCAAAUAAGCGAGAUGAAGCGUCCGGUUGAUACGGGGAUGAGUUAUGAAGGAGGUCCCGUUAGUCAAGCACUCUGAGCCCGGAGGGUCAACUUCAGCUUACGAUCGUGAACCUCCAGUUGCAAAGAUUCCCGUCCGUCAUUCGCGGUCAACUCCCGACGGUCAAGACCUCGGUCGAUCGGUCAGCGUAAACGUCCUCUUCCGCUCUUCCACUUCCGGGCAUCGAGCAACAAACUUCACUGUCGAUCGCUGCUUCUGAUCGUCUUCUUCGGGUCAUCGUGACAGAACCUUCACGAGUCAACUUCGUGUCCCGGUCGAUUGUGGCGUCCGGCGUUCAGUGCUUCUGAUCGUCUUCUCCAGGUCAUCGUGACAGAACCUUCACGAGUUAACUUCGUGUCCAGGUCGAUUGUGGCGUCCGGCGUUCAGUGCUUCUGAUCGUCGUCUCCAGGUCAUCGUGACAGAACCUUCACGAGUCAACUUCGUGUCCCGGUCGAUUGUGGCGUCCGGCGUUCAGUGCUUCUGAUCGUCCUCUCCAGGUCAUCGUGACAGAACCUUCACGAGUCAACUUCGUGUCCAGGUCGAUUGUGGCGUCCGGCGUUCAGUGCUUCUGAUCGUCGUCUCCAGAUCAUCGUGACAGAACCUUCACGAGUCAACUUCGUGUCCCGGUCGAUUGUGGCG